GAUGAACGCUGGCGGCGUGCCUAAUACAUGCAAGUCGAGCGAACAGACGAGGAGCUUGCUCCUCUGACGUUAGCGGCGGACGGGUGAGUAACACGUGGAUAACCUACCUAUAAGACUGGGAUAACUUCGGGAAACCGGAGCUAAUACCGGAUAAUAUAUUGAACCGCAUGGUUCAAUAGUGAAAGACGGUUUUGCUGUCACUUAUAGAUGGAUCCGCGCCGCAUUAGCUAGUUGGUAAGGUAACGGCUUACCAAGGCAACGAUGCGUAGCCGACCUGAGAGGGUGAUCGGCCACACUGGAGCUUAGACGCGGUCCAGGGUCCUACGGGAGGCAGCAGUAGGGAAUCUUCCGCAAUGGGCGAAAGCCUGACGGAGCAACGCCGCGUGAGUGAUGAAGGUCUUCGGAUCGUAAAACUCUGUUAUUAGGGAAGAACAAAUGUGUAAGUAACUAUGCACGUCUUGACGGUACCUAAUCAGAAAGCCACGGCUAACUACGUG
This 497-nucleotide ribosomal RNA is filed under the name uncultured bacterium. RNAcentral describes it as "partial 16S ribosomal RNA". It matches the Rfam family "Bacterial small subunit ribosomal RNA", at positions 28 to 507 of the family's 1533-position model. The record is from RNAcentral.